Small nuclear RNA from Grammomys surdaster, 107 nucleotides. Lineage: Eukaryota; Metazoa; Chordata; Mammalia; Rodentia; Muridae. The record is from RefSeq and is a predicted model, not a curated record.
GUGCUCCCUUUGGCAGCACACACACAAAAAUUGGAAUGAUACAGAGAAGAUUAGCAUGAACCCUGUGCAAGCAUGGCAUGCAAAUUUGUGAAGCAUUCCAUAUAUUU